UACGUAGGGUGCGAGCGUUGUCCGGAAUUAUUGGGCGUAAAGAGCUCGUAGGUGGCUUGUCACGUCGGGUGUGAAAGCUUGGGGCUUAACUCCAGGUCUGCAUUCGAUACGGGCUGGCUAGAGGUAGGUAGGGGAGAACGGAAUUCCUGGUGUAGCGGUGAAAUGCGCAGAUAUCAGGAGGAACACCGGUGGCGAAGGCGGUUCUCUGGGCCUUACCUGACGCUGAGGAGCGAAAGCGUGGGGAGAGAACAGG
This 253-nucleotide ribosomal RNA is filed under the name uncultured bacterium. RNAcentral describes it as "partial 16S ribosomal RNA". It matches the Rfam family "Bacterial small subunit ribosomal RNA", at positions 524 to 776 of the family's 1533-position model. The record is from RNAcentral.